GAUGAACGCUGACAGAAUGCUUAACACAUGCAAGUCAACUUGAACUUCGGUUUGGGUGGCGGACGGGUGAGUAACGCGUAAAGAACUUGCCUCACAGAUAGGGACAACAUUUGGAAACGAAUGCUAAUACCUGAUAUUAUGAUUUUAGGGCAUCCUAGGUUUAUGAAAGCUAUAUGCGCUGUGAGAGAGCUUUGCGUCCCAUUAGCUAGUUGGAGAGGUAACGGCUCACCAAGGCGAUGAUGGGUAGCCGGCCUGAGAGGGUGAUCGGCCACAAGGGGACUGAGACACGGCCCUUACUCCUACGGGAGGCAGCAGUGGGGAAUAUUGGACAAUGGACCAAGAGUCUGAUCCAGCAAUUCUGUGUGCACGAUGAAGUUUUUCGGAAUGUAAAGUGCUUUCAGUUGGGAAGAAAAAAAUGACGGUACCAACAGAAGAAGUGACGGCUAAAUACGUG
Molecule: ribosomal RNA, 454 nt
Filed under: uncultured bacterium
Lineage: Bacteria
Description: partial 16S ribosomal RNA
Rfam family: Bacterial small subunit ribosomal RNA
Source: RNAcentral